This 240-nucleotide unclassified non-coding RNA is filed under the name soil metagenome. Its description in RNAcentral is "partial contains 5.8S ribosomal RNA, internal transcribed spacer 2, and large subunit ribosomal RNA". The record is from RNAcentral.
AAGACUAUAGACCUGCGGAGUACCUGCGGAGGGAUCAUUACAGAGAACUUGCCCGUCUGGGUAGAUCUCCCACCCUUUGUUUACUAUACCUUUGUUGCUUUGGCAAGCCUGUCUUGUGACUACUGGCCUCCAGCUAGUAAGUGCUUGCCAGAGGACCCCAAACACUUUACAUUGUGUUGUCUGAGUAGUACAGAAAUUUUUAAAACUUUUAACAACGGAUCUCUAGAUCGGAAGAGCACA